Molecule: unclassified non-coding RNA, 258 nt
Filed under: fungal sp.
Lineage: Eukaryota; Fungi
Description: partial internal transcribed spacer region
Rfam family: Eukaryotic small subunit ribosomal RNA (bases 1-46)
Source: RNAcentral
AAGUCGUAACAAGGUUUCCGUAGGUGAACCUGCGGAAGGAUCAUUACAGAAUUGAAAUCGACCGACCCUGUUGAAGCGUGGGCUGGUCUCGAGCGAGCGAGUGAGCGAGUGAGCGAGCCUGCUUGCUAGCUUGUUUGUUUGCUAGCUUGCUUGCUUGCUUGCUCGAGACAAGCAAAAACAAAACAAAACAAUUGAUGAAUGUACCAGUGAAUAUGAAAAAAAGAAAAACAACUUUUAACAAUGGAUCUCUUGGCUCUU